This 475-nucleotide ribosomal RNA is filed under the name Actinomyces israelii. Its description in RNAcentral is "bacterial SSU rRNA". It matches the Rfam family "Bacterial small subunit ribosomal RNA", at positions 28 to 485 of the family's 1533-position model. Lineage: Bacteria; Bacillati; Actinomycetota; Actinomycetes; Actinomycetales; Actinomycetaceae. The record is from RNAcentral.
GACGAACGCGGCGGCGUGCUUAACACAUGCAAGUCGAACGGGUCUGCCUUGUUUUUUGCGGGGUGGGUUAGUGGCGAACGGGUGAGUAACACGUGAGUAACCUGCCCCUCACUUCUGGAUAACCGCUUGAAAGGGUGGCUAAUACGGGGUGUUCUGGCUGUGCCGCAUGGUGUGGCUGGGAAAGAUUCACUUUUGUGGUGUUUUGGUGGGGGAUGGGCUCGCGGCCUAUCAGCUUGUUGGUGGGGUGAUGGCCUGCCAAGGCUUUGACGGGUAGCCGGCCUGAGAGGGUGGGCGGUCACACUGGGACUGAGAUACGGCCCAGACUCCUGCGGGAGGCAGCAGUGGGGGGUAUUGCACAAUGGGCGGAAGCCUGAUGCAGCGACGUCGCGUGAGGGAUGGAGGCCUUCGGGUUGUGAACCUCUUUCGCCGGUGAAGAGGGUCCUGUUCUUUGUGGUGGGGCUGACGUAGCCGGGUU